This 257-nucleotide ribosomal RNA is filed under the name Francisella tularensis subsp. holarctica. RNAcentral's name for it is "partial 23S ribosomal RNA". It matches the Rfam family "Bacterial large subunit ribosomal RNA", at positions 2446 to 2702 of the family's 2925-position model. Lineage: Bacteria; Pseudomonadati; Pseudomonadota; Gammaproteobacteria; Thiotrichales; Francisellaceae. The record is from RNAcentral.
CGCUCAACGGAUAAAAGGUAAUCAGGGGAUAACAGGCUAAUUCCUCCCAAGAGUUCAUAUCGACGGAGGAGUUUGGCACCUCGAUGUCGGCUCAUAACAUCCUGGGGCUGAAGUAGGUCCCAAGGGUAUGGCUGUUCGCCAUAUAAAGUGGUACGCGAGCUGGGUUCAGAACGUCGUGAGACAGUUCGGUCCCUAUCUGCCGUGUGCGGUAGAGAUUUGAGAAGAGUUGCUCCUAGUACGAGAGGACCGGAGUGAAC